RNAcentral lists this long non-coding RNA (369 nucleotides) under Mytilus galloprovincialis (Mediterranean mussel). The record is from RNAcentral. Lineage: Eukaryota; Metazoa; Mollusca; Bivalvia; Mytilida; Mytilidae.
GUUUUUCGCCGCAGGCGAAAAAAAAAUUUGUCCAGAAAAAAAACCAUAGCCCCCCCCUGUUGCUGCCUUAGAACAAAUACCAGAGACAUAAUCAUCAUAUAUUAUGUCUCUGACAAUACAUUGUAAAUUCUUUUUUUGAACUCAGGAAAUGUUCAAUGUUUUAGAAAUAACAGAUACAUUUGUAGGUAUACAUCACACACACAGCAUGCACACAAAAGAAAAAAGUAAGAUGAGCAAUUUCCUAUAAACUUUCAUCUAGAGACUUAUUUGUUUUCACAACAUUAAAUUGAGAAUAGAAACUGGGAAUGUGUCAAAGAGACGAAAACCCAAAGUAGAAUACAGCCAAUGUACAUGUAUAAACACUAGCAC